GACGGGGCCGCACAAGCGGUGGAGCAUGUGGUUAAUUCGAAGCAACGCGAAGAACCUUACCAGGUCUUGACAUCCCCUGACAACCCAAGAGAUGGCGUUCCCCGUCGGGGGACAGGGUGACAGGUGGUGCAUGGUUGUCGUCAGCUCGUGUCGUGAGAUGUUGGGUUAAGUCCCGCAACGAGCGCAACCCUCGCCUCUAGUUGCCAGCAUUCGGUUGGGCACUCUAGAGGGACUGCCGGCGACAAGUCGGAGGAAGGUGGGAUGACGUCAAAUCAUCAUGCCCCUUAUGACCUGGGCUACACACGUGCUACAAUGGGCGGUACAAAGGGCUGCGAACCCGCGAGGGGGAGCGAAUCCCAAAAAGCCGCUCUCAGUUCGGAUUGCAGGCUGCAACUCGCCUGCAUGAAGCCGGAAUCGCUAGUAAUCGCGGAUCAGCAUGCCGCGGUGAAUACGUUCCCGGGCCUU
Molecule: ribosomal RNA, 465 nt
Filed under: uncultured Geobacillus sp.
Lineage: Bacteria; Bacillati; Bacillota; Bacilli; Caryophanales; Anoxybacillaceae
Description: bacterial SSU rRNA
Rfam family: Bacterial small subunit ribosomal RNA
Source: RNAcentral